RNAcentral lists this ribosomal RNA (465 nucleotides) under Vreelandella stevensii. Its description in RNAcentral is "partial 16S ribosomal RNA". It matches the Rfam family "Bacterial small subunit ribosomal RNA", at positions 338 to 795 of the family's 1533-position model. The record is from RNAcentral. Lineage: Bacteria; Pseudomonadati; Pseudomonadota; Gammaproteobacteria; Oceanospirillales; Halomonadaceae.
CCUACGUGAUGCAGCAGUGGGGAAUAUUGGACAAUGGGCGAAAGCCUGAUCCAGCCAUGCCGCGUGUGUGAAGAAGGCCUUCGGGUUGUAAAGCACUUUCAGUGGGGAAGAAAGCCUUGGGGCUAAUACCCUCGAGGAAGGACAUCACCCACAGAAGAAGCACCGGCUAACUCCGUGCCAGCAGCCGCGGUAAUACGGAGGGUGCGAGCGUUAAUCGGAAUUACUGGGCGUAAAGCGCGCGUAGGCGGUCUGAUAAGCCGGUUGUGAAAGCCCCGGGCUCAACCUGGGAACGGCAUCCGGAACUGUCAGGCUAGAGUGCAGGAGAGGAAGGUAGAAUUCCCGGUGUAGCGGUGAAAUGCGUAGAGAUCGGGAGGAAUACCAGUGGCGAAGGCGGCCUUCUGGACUGACACUGACGCUGAGGUGCGAAAGCGUGGGUAGCAAACAGGAUUAGAUACCCGUGUAGUC